Molecule: long non-coding RNA, 1823 nt
Filed under: Neogobius melanostomus (round goby)
Lineage: Eukaryota; Metazoa; Chordata; Actinopteri; Gobiiformes; Gobiidae
Description: lncRNA (ENSNMLG00000021529.1)
Source: RNAcentral
GAAGGCGUUUCUUUAGAGGAACGUGACUGGAAAAACAGACAGUGAAGUGCACAUACUUUUGAUUUGGAUGUGUGAAUCCACAGUUACAGAACACAUGUACUGGCACUGGGAGCUCCUGUGCACAGUAUUCUGCUGUGGGCUGUCACAUGUGGCGGCAUGUGAGCAUUAGCAGCAGCCAUGGCAGGAAGGAGCUGCUCUGUUCUCAGCUGUUCGGCCCAGGACUGACUGUUCUGGCCCCCGCCCUCCUCCUCCUCUCACCCACCGGACUCUCUCUGGACACCUCUCCCUUCCUCUGCUGGCUACUGCUGCAACAUCGCAUUCUCUGUACAAGCAAACAAUGGUCUUUCACAUUUUCAUUGUGUUUAUUGUACAGUAUCAUCGAGGCAUGCAUACUAUACUACUGCACUGUAAAGUAGACUUUACAGAUAAUGGAUGAUGCAGUAGUCAGAGUAAACAUACCAUUCGUUUAAGUGCAAUGAGCAGAUAAACAGGGUGUUUCUCUCAAUGAGCCACAAUAGUUCACAUCACUUUGGCGCCAUCUGUUGGCCCUGAAAAGUGAGUGAACUGAACAUGACGUGCGUGAGAAGUGCAAGUGCUGUGCGUCAGGAUCAGUAUGGUCAGGCCGCGCCCCCUGUCGGUAAUCAUGUGAGUUGCUGAAAUACAUAAACUAAGCGGCUAUGUCAGGCAUUUAAACUAACAUCUGACUAGACCAGCUGUCAGCGUGUAGUAGUCCACGCUGCAUUUUCACAGGGGUUUCAAAUGCACCACAGUCACAAUUGGCUCAUUCUAAUCUCCUUUUAAAACUGCCAAUCAUUAUAGAAAAAAUCCUAAACAAGAGUGGCAUCAUUUUUUUUUCUUUUUCCGGGAGCUUGAAUCACUGCAGGACUUUGGCCCCUAAAUUAUGCUGUGUCUAGUAAAACAAUAAGGGAUGCUCAGCAGUGCUCAGUCAGUCCGUAACGGAAAGAUGCACAGGUGACUUCUCUGCAGUCAUGCCAGUUUUAAGUCGCUGGGACCGAAAGUCUGUGUCUCAACUGGUGCAACAUUAUCAAAGUUGUUCUGACUUGAGGAGCAUUGAAAAUGAUAACAAAACACAGGAGGCAGAGCUUGAGGACAGCAGAUGGAGGAGGGACCAUGUGGACCACUUCAGAGUGGGACACAGUUUGUCCCGGAGUCGAUCCAUGGAUGUAUUACCUCAGAGAGAGGUGUCCAGCACCAAAGCCCUGUGUGCUCUGUUUGAGUCAAAAAGAUUCAUGCAGAAUUCCUCCAGCCUGCAACACAUUAACACACCAUCAGGGGGCGCUCUAAUGAACUGGAAGAAGCACAAGACCCAAAAUAAUCAAAGUGGUGUUGAUAUGGUGGAGGGAAGAGCCAUGAAUGGACACCCAGAGUCUCACAACAGAGGAUCAAGACUCUUAAAGGAUGAUAAAAAUUGUGUAUUAGUGACUAAAGGAUCACCAGUCCAAGGCAGAAACCGGAUACCCACUUCCUCGUCUGUGAGAGACCGCUCCGCUCUGUAUCUGUCCCAGGAAGCAGACGCCACAGGAGGCUCUGAGCAGCUCGUGAGUGCUACACAUGCCUUUCAUUCCCCACCACACUGAGGUUAAGGACUGCAAAGGGCCAAAUAGCACUGCUACACACAAUAGAGCCAGGGUUAUACUAUAAGACCCAUAUGACUUAGUAUAAGAGCUCUUUUUCCACGUAACCUUGCUGAAUGGAAUAGCCUUCCAGGAGAAGUGGUUUUGAGUUUGACUCUGGACAUCUUCAAAAGGCAAAACUACUACUGUAGUCUCACUAGCACUCUACCCCUUCCCCACUGGCGUGAU